AGCUCAGCUGGUAGAGCAGAGACUGAAA
RNAcentral lists this transfer RNA (28 nucleotides) under Morus australis (Aino mulberry). RNAcentral describes it as "partial tRNA-Phe". The record is from RNAcentral. Lineage: Eukaryota; Viridiplantae; Streptophyta; Magnoliopsida; Rosales; Moraceae.